CUGAAAUUCGCCUUCAUGAAGCCGGAAUUGCUAGUAAUGGCAGGUCAGCAUACUGCCGUGAAUACGUUCCCGGGCCUUGUACACACCGCCCGUCACACCAUGAGAGUUGGGGAUACCCGAAGCCUGUGAGCCAACUUUUAGAGGCAGCAGUCGAAGGUAGAAUCAAUGAUUGGGGUGAAGUCGUAACAAGGUAAC
Molecule: ribosomal RNA, 195 nt
Filed under: uncultured bacterium
Lineage: Bacteria
Description: partial 16S ribosomal RNA
Rfam family: Bacterial small subunit ribosomal RNA
Source: RNAcentral